GCCGCUCCUGUUUGUUGGUUAGAGCGUCCGCCAGGGAUGCGGGAUGUCGCGGGUUCGAACCCCGGCCAAACA
Potamilus streckersoni is the source of this 72-nucleotide non-coding RNA. The record is from the annotation of a GenBank genome assembly. Lineage: Eukaryota; Metazoa; Mollusca; Bivalvia; Unionida; Unionidae.